CCGGCCGCGGCCCCUGACGCACGCUGCGCCCCGGCCCCCUCCCGGGAGGCGGGCCCCGCCGAGGCAGAGGCGCGGCGACGGGGAGGCGGGGGUGGCGGUGUCUGCGCGCACACGCUCGCUCGCAGACACACACACACACGCACACGCGGGCCACGCCACAGACACACGACACGCACCGAGCCCUGGCCGGGCGCCGCGCGCACUCGCACCCGCGCUCACACUCACACUCACACUCGCGCGCAGGCCCCGCAGCCGCCGCCGCCGCCGGAAGCGGCGCUCGGCCCGGAUCCCGGCUGGGCUGGAGCAGAGGACCUGGGUGAGAAGCUGCUGCCGCCGGAGCUGGACCAGGACCCGAGACCCCAUUGCUCUUGCUGCUGCUGCUGCCGGCUGCCGCCGAGGGGGGCCUCCCUGAGACCAGGCCAGGGAUAGAGCCUUGUGGGCCGGAGGGCCCCCUUAGCCCUCAGACAUCGAGCAGAGACGACUGGCCGCCCUGAGCGCAAUUCAAUUCAACAG
Molecule: long non-coding RNA, 513 nt
Filed under: Zalophus californianus (California sea lion)
Lineage: Eukaryota; Metazoa; Chordata; Mammalia; Carnivora; Otariidae
Description: lncRNA (ENSZCAG00015017414.1)
Source: RNAcentral